ACCUGAGUGGCUCAGUUGGUUGAGCAUCCGACUUCAGCUCGGGUCAUGAUCUCACAGUCCAUGGGUUCAAGCCCCACAUCCGGCU
This is a non-coding RNA of Felis catus (domestic cat), 85 nucleotides long. The record is from Rfam. Lineage: Eukaryota; Metazoa; Chordata; Mammalia; Carnivora; Felidae.